CCGUAAACGAUGUGUGUUAGACGUUGGAAAUUUAUUUUCAGUGUCGCAGGGAAACCGAUAAACACACCGCCUGGGGAGUACGACCGCAAGGUUAAAACUCAAAUGAAUUGACGGGGACCCGCACAAGUAGUGGAGCAUGUGGUUUAAUUCGAAGAUACGCGCAGAACCUUACCAACACUUGACAUGUUCGUCGCGACUUUAAGAGAUUAAAGUUUUCGGUUCGGCCGGACGAAACACAGGUGCUGCAUGGCUGUCGUCAGCUCGUGUCGUGAGAUGUUGGGUUAAGUCCCGCAACGAGCGCAACCCUCACUUUUAGUUGCCAUCAUUUAGUUGGGCACUCUGAAAGAACUGCCAGUGAUAAGCUGGAGGAAGGUGGGGAUGACGUCAAGUCCUCAUGGCCCUUACGUGUUGGGCUACACACGUGCUACAAUGGUAUAUACAACAGGAAGCAAGACGGCGACGUUUAGCAAAUCCUCAAAAGAUACCUCAGUUCGGAUUGCACUCUGCAACUCGAGUGCAUGAAGCUGGAAUUACUAGUAAUCGUGGAUCAGCGUGCCACGGUGAAUGCGUUCCCGGGUCUUGUACACACCGCCCGUCACACCAUGGGAGUUGGUUCUACCUUAAGGCAAGGUUUUAAACCCUUGACCACGGUAUAGUCAGCGACUGGGGUGAAGUCGUAACAAGGUAACCGUA
RNAcentral lists this ribosomal RNA (693 nucleotides) under uncultured bacterium. RNAcentral describes it as "bacterial SSU rRNA". It matches the Rfam family "Bacterial small subunit ribosomal RNA", at positions 800 to 1504 of the family's 1533-position model. The record is from RNAcentral.